Molecule: ribosomal RNA, 468 nt
Filed under: uncultured bacterium
Lineage: Bacteria
Description: partial 16S ribosomal RNA
Rfam family: Bacterial small subunit ribosomal RNA
Source: RNAcentral
GACGAACGCUGGCGGCGUGCUUAACACAUGCAAGUCGAACGGAAAGGCCCUGCUUUUGUGGGGUGCUCGAGUGGCGAACGGGUGAGUAACACGUGAGUAACCUGCCCUUGACUUUGGGAUAACUUCAGGAGACUGGGGCUAAUACCGGAUAGGAGCUCCUGCUGCAUGGUGGGGGUUGGAAAGUUUCGGCGGUUGGGGAUGGACUCGCGGCUUAUCAGCUUGUUGGUGGGGUAGUGGCUUACCAAGGCUUUGACGGGUAGCCGGCCUGAGAGGGUGACCGGCCACAUUGGGACUGAGAUACGGCCCAGACUCCUACGGGAGGCAGCAGUGGGGAAUAUUGCACAAUGGGCGGAAGCCUGAUGCAGCAACGCCGCGUGCGGGAUGACGGCCUUCGGGUUGUAAACCGCUUUCGCCUGUGACGAAGCGUGAGUGACGGUAAAGGGUAAAGAAGCACCGGCUAACUACGUG